GAUGAACGCUGGCGGCGUGCCUAAUACAUGCAAGUCGAGCGAACGGACGAGAAGCUUGCUUCUCUGAUGUUAGCGGCGGACGGGUGAGUAACACGUGGAUAACCUACCUAUAAGACUGGGUUAACUUCGGGAAACCGGAUCUAAUACCGGAUAAUAUUUUGAACCGCAUGGUUCAAAAGUGAAAGACGGUCUUGCUGUCACUUAUAGAUGUAUCCGCGCUGCAUUAGCUAGUUGGUAAGGUAACGGCUUACCAAGGCAACGAUGCAUAGCCGACCUGAGAGGAUGAUCGGCCACACUGGAACUGAGACACGGUCCAGACUCCUACGGGAGGCAGCAGUAGGGAAUCUUCCGCAAUGGGCGAAAGCCUGACGGAGCAACGCCGCGUGAGUGAUGAAGGUCUUCGGAUCGUAAAACUCUGUUAUUAGGGAAGAACAGAUGUGUAAGUAACUGUGCACAUCUUGACGGUACCUAAUCAGAAAGCCACGGCUAACUACGUG
RNAcentral lists this ribosomal RNA (497 nucleotides) under uncultured bacterium. Its description in RNAcentral is "partial 16S ribosomal RNA". It matches the Rfam family "Bacterial small subunit ribosomal RNA", at positions 28 to 507 of the family's 1533-position model. The record is from RNAcentral.